RNAcentral lists this long non-coding RNA (1023 nucleotides) under Coturnix japonica (Japanese quail). RNAcentral describes it as "lncRNA (ENSCJPG00005012885.1)". The record is from RNAcentral. Lineage: Eukaryota; Metazoa; Chordata; Aves; Galliformes; Phasianidae.
UUUGCUUCACCCAAAAAUAUUAAGUAGCCUGAUGCUUUUGGUAGCUUCUGCAGCUACGACUUUCUCUGAACAGUAUGUAGACUACGUAUCAAAGAAAUGCACUAAACCUAUUGUAAAUCAAAUGCUUUCAAGAAAUCAAACACUUAGGCCAAGGUACUGCUGAUAGACCCCAGGAUCAUGUGCUGAGUGCUCUUUUUAAUACUCCCUUCUAAAGCUGUACCGUGUGAAUGUACACUAACAAAAAAUCCAUAGAGAUACCGCUUGGGCAUCAACUAUCUAUUUACAGAUGGUCUCUUUUCUAAAGCUAAGUGGAUCUAUCAAUAAACAAAAAGAACAGAAUCCUAAAAUGAAGUACUCAGCCAAUUCUGCUCAAUCGUUCUUUAAAUAUUUAGCUGGUAUGAGCAGAAAGGCAAGAUCAAAAUAACAGAUUAUCCAUCUAAGCUAACACAAGGCCUAAAUGUUACUAACCUUCUCUUAUUUCUGUUCCAAAAUAUUAGAAAAUUAAAUAUGGCUUAAAAAACGAGCAAGCUUAUUAUACUCUCAAAUGAAAACUAAACAGCUGAAAGAAGCCCUUCAGCUCAUUCUUAUAAAUUGCAACUAAUGUGUAAUCCUUGUAGUGCUUAAGUCAUUUGAAUAUGAAAAGACUUCAGACAAGAGGUGCUAAUAAGAACACCCCACACUUCAGAUUUCAACUGACAUGCCAAUUUGUAUUUCAAUAAGACAGAAAAAAAAUCACUGCUAAACCUUGAGGAAAGAAAUACCUUCACUCCUACACUGUGUCCAUUUACAAUACUUAUAUGCAUAUAUUUCAGCAUCACUAAUGAAAGCCACGCUUCAGGAAGACAAUUUAAAUUGCCCUUCAAAAGGCAGAGAAAGGAACGUAUCAUUAGCAUGACACCUCUACUCCUCUUUAAUGCAAAAAAAGGUUGGUUGUGCUACAUGAAAUUACAGUUUCGAGACCUGACAGCUUCAAAAUGAAGCUGCAUUAUAAUAAAAGUUGGGUACGCAUAUCUGCUGGAGCUG